This 126-nucleotide small RNA is filed under the name Marmota monax (woodchuck). The record is from RNAcentral. Lineage: Eukaryota; Metazoa; Chordata; Mammalia; Rodentia; Sciuridae.
GCCAGGUGUGGUGGCGCACACCUGUAAUCCCAGCAGCUUGGGAGGCUGAGACAGGAGGAUCACGAGUUCAAAGCCAGCCUCAGCAAAAAGCAAGGUGCUAAGCAACUCAGUGAGAUGCUGUCUCUA